GAUGAACGCUGGCGGCGUGCCUAAUACAUGCAAGUCGAGCGAACAGACGAGGAGCUUGCUCCUCUGACGUUAGCGGCGGACGGGUGAGUAACACGUGGAUAACCUACCUAUAAGACUGGGAUAACUUCGGGAAACCGGAGCUAAUACCGGAUAAUAUAUUGAACCGCAUGGUUCAAUAGUGAAAGACGGUUUUGCUGUCACUUAUAGAUGGAUCCGCGCCGCAUUAGCUAGUUGGUAAGGUAACGGCUUACCAAGGCAACGAUGCGUGGCCGACCUGAGAGGGUGAUCGGCCACACUGGAACUGAGACACGGUCCAGACUCCUACGGGAGGCAGCAGUAGGGAAUCUUCCGCAAUGGGCGAAAGCUUGACGGAGCAACGCCGCGUGAGUGAUGAAGGUCUUCGGAUCGUAAAGCUCUGUUAUUAGGGAAGAACAAAUGUGUAAGUAACUAUGCACGUCUUGACGGUACCUAAUCAGAAAGCCACGGCUAACUACGUG
Molecule: ribosomal RNA, 497 nt
Filed under: uncultured bacterium
Lineage: Bacteria
Description: partial 16S ribosomal RNA
Rfam family: Bacterial small subunit ribosomal RNA
Source: RNAcentral